GACGAACGCUGGCGGCGUGCUUAACACAUGCAAGUCGAACGGAAAGUCCCUGCUUUUGUGGGGUGCUCGAGUUGCGAACGGGUGAGUAACCCGUGAGUAACCUGCCCUUGACUUUGGGAUAACUUCAGGCAACUGGGGCUAAUACCGGGUAGGAGCUCCUGCUGCAUGGUUGGGGUUGGAAAGUUUCGGCGGUUGGGGAUGGACUCGCGGCGUAUCAGCUUGUUGGUGGGGUAGUGGCUUAGCAUGGCUUUGACGGGUAGCAGGGCUGAGAGGGGGACCGGACACACUGGGACUGAGAUAAGGCACAGACUACUACGGGAGGGAGCGGAGGGGAAUAUUGUACAAUGGGCGGAAGCCUGACGCAGCAACGCCACGUGCGGGAUGACGGCCAUCGGGUUGUAAACCGCUUUCGCCUGUGACGAAGAGUGAGUGACGGUAAUGGGUAAAGAAGCACCGGCUAACUACGUG
This 468-nucleotide ribosomal RNA is filed under the name uncultured bacterium. RNAcentral's name for it is "partial 16S ribosomal RNA". It matches the Rfam family "Bacterial small subunit ribosomal RNA", at positions 28 to 507 of the family's 1533-position model. The record is from RNAcentral.